GGGUAAGUCCUACACGACCAGCACGCCCCGAACUCCGCCAGGUCUUGAUCGAAGCAACGGUAGGGAGCUGAGCGGUGCGAUGUAGACAGCUUACCCUUU
This 99-nucleotide signal recognition particle RNA is filed under the name Muribaculaceae bacterium. Its description in RNAcentral is "signal recognition particle sRNA small type". It matches the Rfam family "Bacteroidales small SRP". Rfam says of the family: The non-coding component of the signal recognition particle in Bacteroides Lineage: Bacteria; Pseudomonadati; Bacteroidota; Bacteroidia; Bacteroidales; Muribaculaceae. The record is from RNAcentral.